GCCAGGAGGGGUGGCACCUGCCUGUAAUCCCAGCAAAUCGGGAGGCUGAGGCAGGAGGAUCUCAAGUUCUAGGCCAGCCUCAGCAACUUAGUGAGAGCCUGUCUCAA
Molecule: small RNA, 107 nt
Filed under: Marmota monax (woodchuck)
Lineage: Eukaryota; Metazoa; Chordata; Mammalia; Rodentia; Sciuridae
Source: RNAcentral